GCCCUUCGGGGUGUAAAGCUCUUUCGGCAGGGAAGAUUUAUGACGGUACCUGCAGAAGCAGCUGCUGGUAAUUACGUGCCAGGCUAGCCGCGGUAAUACGUAGGCAGCAAGCGUUGUUCGGGAGUUACUGGGCGUAAAGGGUGUGUAGGCGGUUGCCUAAGUUUGGGUGUGAAAUCUCCCGGCUUAACCGGGAGGGUGCGCCGAAAACUGGGUGACUAGAGUAUGGGAUGGGUAGUGGAAUUCCUGGUGUAGCGGGUGAAAAUG
RNAcentral lists this ribosomal RNA (264 nucleotides) under uncultured bacterium. RNAcentral describes it as "partial 16S ribosomal RNA". It matches the Rfam family "Bacterial small subunit ribosomal RNA", at positions 413 to 688 of the family's 1533-position model. The record is from RNAcentral.